GCGUUCUUUCCGCACCUAAAAUUCACGUCUCCUCACUAUCGCCCCUAGGCGGGCUUCGAUAAUUUUCGCGCCUGCUGCUGACCUUGGUCCUGGUAGCCGUCUCUCAGGCUCCCUCUCCGGAAUCAAACCCUCAUUCCCCGUACCCGUCUUCGUCUAAGUAGGCCCUUACCCUACUUACUAACUGAUAGGAUGGCAUCUUACUCUUCUGCACUAACAGUUUCUGCCACAACCACAUAGCGUGAUUCGCAGCUUAACGUUUUCCCACCAGUUUCCCGGUGUUGUCCGUCCCAGAAGACUAAAUAAAUCGCCCGUUACUGAGCCUUUCACCGCUCCACAAUAGCUUCGCUUACACAUGCAUGGCUAAAUCUGUGAGACUAGCGUCCACGUCAGGCAGAAUCAACCUGGUG
Molecule: ribosomal RNA, 407 nt
Filed under: Dictyocoela cavimanum
Lineage: Eukaryota; Fungi; Microsporidia
Description: partial small subunit ribosomal RNA
Source: RNAcentral